AAAAGAAAAAGGAGAGAGAGACAGAGAGGGAGGGAGAGAUCGAAGCAAGAAAAAGAAAGGAAGAUGAAAAAGAAACGUAAAAAUCGAAGAUCUGAUCUUCAAUCGAUCUCGACAUCGCCAGGUACCUACACAGUAACAAGCUCACUGGGCUAAUUCCACCUGAAUUGGGGAACAUGUCCAAGCUAAGCUAUCUGUGAAGGAAAUUGAACAACAAUGAACUGGUUGGUAGCAUUCCGGCCGAGCUUGGAUAGCUGGAGUUGUUUGAAUUGUGCAUGGCAAAGAUUGAAUGGUUCCAUUCCAUCUGAAUUCCUGAAGCUGGAGAGUCUAACAUAUCUAAACUUCUCAUCGAACAAUUUCAAAGGGUGGAUCCCUGUUGAGUUAGGGCGCAUAAUCAAUCUUGAUACUCUGUCGGUUGCAAUGCCUUUGCUCAACUAUUGCAAGCUCCUCAUGAUGAUGCUCAAAUUAUCAUAACAGAUUGUUUCCCUGUCCCCAUAUUGGUUAUUUGUGAUCAGCAUGGUUCCCAGGUUUGUAAAUGUCUUUUGGCUUCAACUUGUGAAAUAGACCACUCUACUUUUAAUUCCUUA
Magnolia sinica is the source of this 584-nucleotide long non-coding RNA. RefSeq lists it as uncharacterized. The record is from RefSeq and is a predicted model, not a curated record. The transcript has 5 exons. Lineage: Eukaryota; Viridiplantae; Streptophyta; Magnoliopsida; Magnoliales; Magnoliaceae.